Molecule: unclassified non-coding RNA, 231 nt
Filed under: plant metagenome
Description: partial contains small subunit ribosomal RNA, internal transcribed spacer 1, and 5.8S ribosomal RNA
Source: RNAcentral
UCUCCGUUGGUGAACCAGCGGAGGGAUCAUUACAGAGUUGCAAAACUCCCAAACCAUAGUGAACGUUACCUAUCCCGUUGCUUCGGCGGGCGGCCCGGGCCCCGCGCCCGGCGCCCCCCGGCCCCCCGUGGGCGCCCGCCGGAGGUAAACCAAACCCUUGAAUUGCAUGGCCUCUCUGAGUCUUCUGUACUGAAUAAGUCAAAACUUUCAACAACGGAUCUCUUGGUUCUG